Molecule: ribosomal RNA, 660 nt
Filed under: uncultured bacterium
Lineage: Bacteria
Description: bacterial SSU rRNA
Rfam family: Bacterial small subunit ribosomal RNA
Source: RNAcentral
AGUGGCGGACGGGUGAGUAACGCGUGAGAAUCUGCCUUGGGGUCGGGGACAACCACUGGAAACGGUGGCUAAUACCGGAUAAGCCGAUUGGUGAAAGAUUUAUUGCCCGAAGAGGAGCUCGCGUCUGAUUAGCUAGUUGGUGAGGUAAUAGCUCACCAAGGCAGCGAUCAGUAGCUGGUCUGAGAGGACGAUCAGCCACACUGGGACUGAGACACGGCCCAGACUCCUACGGGAGGCAGCAGUGGGGAAUUUUCCGCAAUGGGCGAAAGCCUGACGGAGCAAGACCGCGUGAGGGAGGAAGGCUCUUGGGUUGUAAACCUCUUUUCUCAGGGAAGAAGCUCUGACGGUACCUGAGGAACCAGCCUCGGCUAACUCCGUGCCAGCAGCCGCGGUAAUACGGAGGAGGCAAGCGUUAUCCGGAAUUAUUGGGCGUAAAGCGUCCGCAGGUGGCGAUUCAAGUCUGCUGUCAAAGCACGGGGCUUAACUCCGUAAAGGCAGUGGAAACUGAAUAGCUAGAGUGCCGUAGGGGUAGAGGGAAUUCCCGGUGUAGCGGUGAAAUGCGUAGAGAUCGGGAAGAACAUCGGUGGCGAAAGCGCUCUACUGGACGGCAACUGACACUCAGGGACGAAAGCUAGGGGAGCGAAUGGGAUUAGAUACCCC